RNAcentral lists this transfer RNA (73 nucleotides) under Danio rerio (zebrafish). It matches the Rfam family "tRNA". From Rfam's summary of the family: Transfer RNA (tRNA) molecules are approximately 80 nucleotides in length. Their secondary structure includes four short double-helical elements and three loops (D, anti-codon, and T loops). The record is from Rfam by way of RNAcentral. Lineage: Eukaryota; Metazoa; Chordata; Actinopteri; Cypriniformes; Danionidae.
GCCUGGCUAGUUCAGUUGGUAGAGCAUGAGACUCUUAAUGUCAGGGUCGUGGGUUCGAGCCCCACGUUGGGCA